CCUACGGGUGGCAGCAGUGAGGAAUAUUGGUCAAUGGACGAGAGUCUGAACCAGCCAAGUAGCGUGAAGGAUGACUGCCCUAUGGGUUGUAAACUUCUUUUAUAUGGGAAUAAAAUGUUCCACGUGUGGGAUUUUGUAUGUACCAUAUGAAUAAGGACAGGCUAACUCCGUGCCAGCAGCCGCGGUAAUACGGAGGAUCCGAGCGUUAUCCGGAUUUAUUGGGUUUAAAGGGAGCGUAGGUGGAUUGUUAAGUCAGUUGUGAAAGUUUGCGGCUCAACCGUAAAAUUGCAGUUGAAACUGGCAGUCUUGAGUACAGUAUAGGUGGGCGGAAUUCGUGGUGUAGCGGUGAAAUGCUUAGAUAUCACGAAGAACUCCGAUUGCGAAGGCAGUUCACUGGACUGCAACUGACACUGAGGCUCGAAAGUGUGGGUAUCAAACAGGAUUAGAUACCCUUGUAGUC
This 460-nucleotide ribosomal RNA is filed under the name uncultured bacterium. Its description in RNAcentral is "partial 16S ribosomal RNA". It matches the Rfam family "Bacterial small subunit ribosomal RNA", at positions 338 to 795 of the family's 1533-position model. The record is from RNAcentral.